RNAcentral lists this transfer RNA (75 nucleotides) under Streptomyces cylindrosporus. RNAcentral describes it as "tRNA-Phe". It matches the Rfam family "tRNA". From Rfam's summary of the family: Transfer RNA (tRNA) molecules are approximately 80 nucleotides in length. Their secondary structure includes four short double-helical elements and three loops (D, anti-codon, and T loops). Lineage: Bacteria; Bacillati; Actinomycetota; Actinomycetes; Kitasatosporales; Streptomycetaceae. The record is from RNAcentral.
CGUCUCGUAGCUCAGCCGUGGCAGAGCGCCGGAGUGAAAUCCCGGAGGCCGCAGGUUCAACCCCUGCCGAGACGA